GGUAGCACAGAGGAGCUUGCUCCUCGGGUGACGAGUGGCGGACGGGUGAGUAGUGUCUGGGGAUCUGCCCGAUAGAGGGGGAUAACCACUGGAAACGGUGGCUAAUACCGCAUAACGUCGCAAGACCAAAGAGGGGGACCUUCGGGCCUCUCACUAUCGGAUGAACCCAGAUGGGAUUAGCUAGUAGGCGGGGUAACGGCCCACCUAGGCGACGAUCCCUAGCUGGUCUGAGAGGAUGACCAGCCACACUGGAACUGAGACACGGUCCACACUCCUACGGGAGGCAGCAGUGGGGAAUAUUGCACAGUGGGCGCAAGCCUGAUGCAGCCAUGCCGCGUGUAUGAAGAAGGCCUUCGGGUUGUAAAGUACUUUCAGCGGGGAGGAAGGCGAUGUGGUUAAUAACCGCGUCGAUUGACGUUACCCGCAGAAGAAGCACCGGCUAACUCCGUGCCAGCAGCCGCGGUAAUACAGAGGGUGCAAGCGUUAAUCGGAAUUACUGGGCGUAAAGCGCACGCAGGCGGUCUGUUAAGUCAGAUGUGAAAUCCCCGGGCUUAACCUGGGAACUGCAUUUGAAACUGGCAGGCUUGAGUCUCGUAGAGGGGGGUAGAAUUCCAGGUGUAGCGGUGAAAUGCGUAGAGAUCUGGAGGAAUACCGGUGGCGAAGGCGGCCCCCUGGACGAAGACUGACGCUCAGGUGCGAAAGCGUGGGGAGCAAACAGGAUUAGAUACCCUGGUAGUCCACGCCGUAAACGAUGUCGACUUGGAGGUUGUUCCCUUGAGGAGUGGCUUCCGGAGCUAACGCGUUAAGUCGACCGCCUGGGGAGUACGGCCGCAAGGUUAAAACUCAAAUGAAUUGACGGGGGCCCGCACAAGCGGUGGAGCAUGUGGUUUAAUUCGAUGCAACGCGAAGAACCUUACCUACUCUUGACAUCCACGGAAUUCGGCAGAGAUGCCUUAGUGCCUUCGGGAACCGUGAGACAGGUGCUGCAUGGCUGUCGUCAGCUCGUGUUGUGAAAUGUUGGGUUAAGUCCCGCAACGAGCGCAACCCUUAUCCUUUGUUGCCAGCGAUUCGGUCGGGAACUCAAAGGAGACUGCCGGUGAUAAACCGGAGGAAGGUGGGGAUGACGUCAAGUCAUCAUGGCCCUUACGAGUAGGGCUACACACGUGCUACAAUGGCGCAUACAAAGAGAAGCGACCUCGCGAGAGCAAGCGGACCUCAUAAAGUGCGUCGUAGUCCGGAUCGGAGUCUGCAACUCGACUCCGUGAAGUCGGAAUCGCUAGUAAUCGUGGAUCAGAAUGCCACGGUGAAUACGUUCCCGGGCCUUGUACACACCGCCCGUCACACCAUGGGAGUGGGUUGCAAAAGAAGUAGGUAGCUUAACCUUCGGGAG
This 1390-nucleotide ribosomal RNA is filed under the name [Curtobacterium] plantarum. Its description in RNAcentral is "partial 16S ribosomal RNA". It matches the Rfam family "Bacterial small subunit ribosomal RNA". RNAcentral also lists the same sequence under 1 other name. Lineage: Bacteria; Pseudomonadati; Pseudomonadota; Gammaproteobacteria; Enterobacterales; Erwiniaceae. The record is from RNAcentral.